CUGAGAAGGGUUUUCAAAAAUCACGGAUUCAGAUGCGCAAUUGCGCUUGUGAAUGUGCACGUGUCAGCGGAUUAAUAUUAACUAUGAUAGUAUUUCAGUCCAUUCUUGUUGUCAUAGUGCUUGUCGAGACUUGGGCGCAGCACAGCAAUGCUUCGCUUUUGUUUGCCUGAGAAAUUGGACUGUGGAGAGUUGACUCUGGACAAGCGGUAUUCGUUUAAUAAUCAGAUGUUCUUUCCUGUUUGAGAGUUUUAGUUAACGGCCCUGUUUGGCCUAGCGUUUAUUGUUUUACUUCCCCUUGAACGCCGUUCGCAUUAAAGUUUUGUGAACUAUCGACCCGUUUCAGUGUCUCUCAUUUCGCAACUUGGGCCGUAUCCGAACCUGCUGACAAAGGCAUGAAUUAGCUGAGGUCGCGGCUACCAAGCAGAAUCAAGGAACUAUGAGGAGGGGACACCAAGCAUGGGGCUGAGCUCCAAGCAAACUGGAUAACAACAGAACGGAGGAUUCCUGAUAAGUACAUUUUCCCCUCUGGCACUGAGCGGAUGUUGGAGACUGCUCGCCUUGGAUCGCUGAAUUAUUGAGCAAAACUUCCCAACAUGGUGCUGUUGGAAUCAUAUCUGAUUAGGGAUGUGCUUGAGGGAAUUCUCUACAUAAUGGAUGUCUUCAUUGGGAAGACAAGCUGUCCAGCUGUUAGAGCUGGAGUGAACGGAGAAGACUGCAAGAUCGUUCAAAGCACUGGAGCAUCCGAGUUCUUCAUGUGCCACUUUGUGCUUUGGUCCGUUCCUCCUUCUAAAGAGCAAACAACUCUGAAACAAAGCUGUGUGAAAAUGAAUAUCUAACGCUUACGGCCUGCAAGACCACCGCCGGGAAUGCAAGAAGAAGUCUGAG
Molecule: RNA transcript, 885 nt
Organism: Hypanus sabinus (Atlantic stingray)
Lineage: Eukaryota; Metazoa; Chordata; Chondrichthyes; Myliobatiformes; Dasyatidae
Gene name: cystatin-like
Exons: 4
Source: RefSeq, a predicted model, not a curated record